Molecule: ribosomal RNA, 253 nt
Filed under: uncultured bacterium
Lineage: Bacteria
Description: partial 16S ribosomal RNA
Rfam family: Bacterial small subunit ribosomal RNA
Source: RNAcentral
UACGUAGGGGGCGAGCGUUAAUCGGAAUUACUGGGCGUAAAGCGUGCGCAGGCGGUUCGCUAAGACCGAUGUGAAAUCCCCGGGCUUAACCUGGGAACUGCAUUGGUGACUGGCGGGCUAGAGUAUGGCAGAGGGGGGUAGAAUUCCACGUGUAGCAGUGAAAUGCGUAGAGAUGUGGAGGAAUACCGAUGGCGAAGGCAGCCCCCUGGGCCAAUACUGACGCUCAUGCACGAAAGCGUGGGGAGCAAACAGG